Molecule: ribosomal RNA, 484 nt
Filed under: uncultured bacterium
Lineage: Bacteria
Description: partial 16S ribosomal RNA
Rfam family: Bacterial small subunit ribosomal RNA
Source: RNAcentral
AUUGAACGCUGGCGGCAGGCCUAACACAUGCAAGUCGAGCGGAUGAAGGGAGCUUGCUCCUGGAUUCAGCGGCGGACGGGUGAGUAAUGCCUAGGAAUCUGCCUGGUAGUGGGGGAUAACGUCCGGAAACGGGCGCUAAUACCGCAUACGUCCUGAGGGAGAAAGUGGGGGAUCUUCGGACCUCACGCUAUCAGAUGAGCCUAGGUCGGAUUAGCUAGUUGGUGGGGUAAAGGCCUACCAAGGCGACGAUCCGUAACUGGCCUGAGAGGAUGAUCAGUCACACUGGAACUGAGACACGGUCCAGACUCCUACGGGAGGCAGCAGUGGGGAAUAUUGGACAAUGGGCGAAAGCCUGAUCCAGCCAUGCCGCGUGUGUGAAGAAGGUCUUCGGAUUGUAAAGCACUUUAAGUCGGGAGGAAGGGCAGUAAGUUAAUACCUUGCUGUUUUGACGUUACCAACAGAAUAAGCACCGGCUAACUUCGUG